GGCAGACCCAGCUGAGAGAGUGGAAAGCUGGAAACAUCCCGGGCUGACGCUCACAAGUUCGGGGCCCAGUGAAUCCAGGAUGCGAUCUUCUAAAUGUCCUUCACUCCGGCACCUGGACAACACAGACCCUGGGUGCACCAGCAGCAGAAGAUGCGAGCCAGGCCUCGGGAGACGACCUCUCCUCCUCCACCGCCUCUGGUCUUCGAGAUCUCCACCCGGAACCGCCUCGCUUCCCUCCGUGAGAUGGAACGCGAUGUUGUGAUUGUCGGAGACUCCAUCAUUCGGAACGUCCGUGCUACAUUAGCCGAAGUUUUAGUGUCAAUCUUGUGUGUGUUUGCUGCACUCUCGGGACAAGGUGAUGUAACUACAGGGUUGAGCCAACUUGAGACUGACUACUGUAAUUCUACAGCCUACAAUCCUGUAAAUCAGAUUUGCUGUAAUGGAAGCAUUCAUGAUCGAAGCAGUGCUCACACAAAAUGCUGUGGCCAAGUCAUGUACCUAACGACAACUCAUAUUUGUUGUGGUGGCAACAAAAUGCUUGAACUGAAGAAAAAUCUUUCUUGUUGUGGCGGUAAUUCAUUUAACAAGACGUUCCAGUAUUGCUGUUUAACAAACAACAAUGUUGAAGUGAGGCUCAAAAAUCAACCUUGCCAUUCAC
Long non-coding RNA from Cyprinus carpio carpio, 658 nucleotides. The record is from Ensembl. Lineage: Eukaryota; Metazoa; Chordata; Actinopteri; Cypriniformes; Cyprinidae.